GAGCCUGUAGCUCAGUCGGUAGAGCACGAGACUUUUAAUCUUGGGGUCGUGGGUUCGAUUCCCACCGGGCUCACCA
Molecule: transfer RNA, 76 nt
Filed under: Acidiphilium iwatense
Lineage: Bacteria; Pseudomonadati; Pseudomonadota; Alphaproteobacteria; Acetobacterales; Acidocellaceae
Also listed under: 5 other names
Description: tRNA-Lys
Rfam family: tRNA
About the family: Transfer RNA (tRNA) molecules are approximately 80 nucleotides in length. Their secondary structure includes four short double-helical elements and three loops (D, anti-codon, and T loops). Further hydrogen bonds mediate the characteristic L-shaped molecular structure. tRNAs have two regions of fundamental functional importance: the anti-codon, which is responsible for specific mRNA codon recognition, and the 3' end, to which the tRNAs corresponding amino acid is attached (by aminoacyl-tRNA synthetases). tRNAs cope with the degeneracy of the genetic code in two manners: having more than one tRNA (with a specific anti-codon) for a particular amino acid; and 'wobble' base-pairing, i.e. permitting non-standard base-pairing at the 3rd anti-codon position.
Source: RNAcentral